This 77-nucleotide transfer RNA is filed under the name Verrucomicrobiota bacterium. Its description in RNAcentral is "Verrucomicrobia bacterium (soil metagenome) tRNA-Arg". It matches the Rfam family "tRNA". Rfam says of the family: Transfer RNA (tRNA) molecules are approximately 80 nucleotides in length. Their secondary structure includes four short double-helical elements and three loops (D, anti-codon, and T loops). Further hydrogen bonds mediate the characteristic L-shaped molecular structure. tRNAs have two regions of fundamental functional importance: the anti-codon, which is responsible for specific mRNA codon recognition, and the 3' end, to which the tRNAs corresponding amino acid is attached (by aminoacyl-tRNA synthetases). tRNAs cope with the degeneracy of the genetic code in two manners: having more than one tRNA (with a specific anti-codon) for a particular amino acid; and 'wobble' base-pairing, i.e. permitting non-standard base-pairing at the 3rd anti-codon position. The record is from RNAcentral. Lineage: Bacteria; Pseudomonadati; Verrucomicrobiota. RNAcentral also lists the same sequence under 4 other names.
GCAUCCGUAGCUCAAUUGGAUAGAGCUUCUGACUUCGGAUCAGAAGGUUACAGGUUCAAGUCCUGUCGGAUGCACCA